UUGGUCGAGGUAGUUUUUGAUGAAGCUGAAGUCCAAUCAACUUGAAACUUGAUACACAUGUUCCCCAUGAUAUGAUCUUUCUAAUUUUAAUGCCAAAUUAUAGUUUUGACCCCAAUUUCAUGGUUCACUGAACAUAGAAAAUGAUAGUGCAAAGUUCAGGUUAAAGUUUUUGGUCAAGGUAGUUUUUGAUGAAGUUAAAGUUACAUCAACUUGAAACUUAGUACACAUGUUCCCUAUGAUAUGAUCUUUCUAAUUUUAAUUCCAAAUUAAAGUUUUGACCCCAAUUUCAUGGUCCACUGAACAUAGAAAAUGAU
This 314-nucleotide long non-coding RNA is filed under the name Mytilus galloprovincialis (Mediterranean mussel). The record is from RNAcentral. Lineage: Eukaryota; Metazoa; Mollusca; Bivalvia; Mytilida; Mytilidae.